AGAGUUUGAUCCUGGCUCAGAACGUACGCUGGCGGCACGCCUAACACAUGCAAGUCGAACGAAGUAGCAAUACUUAGUGGCAGACGGGUGAGUAACAUGUGGGUAUCUACCCUUUGGCCUGGAAUAACACGAGGAAACUUGUGCUAAUACCGGAUAAGUCUUUACGGAGAAAGCUUUAUGCACCAUUGGAUGAGCCCGCACUUGAUUAGUUUGUUGGUAGGGUAAUGGCCUACCAAGACUAUGAUCAAUAGCUGAUUUGAGAGGAUGAUCAGCCACAUUGGGACUGAGACACGGCCCAAACUCCUACGGGAGGCAGCAGUGGGGAAUCUUGCACAAUGGAGGAAACUCUGAUGCAGCGAUGCCGCGUGAGUGAAGAAGGCCUUUGGGUUGUAAAGCUCUUUCGUCGGGGAAGAAAAUGACUGUACCCGAAUAAGAAGGUCCGGCUAACUUCGUGCCAGCAGCCGCGGUAAUACGAAGGGACCUAGCGUAGUUCGGAAUUACUGGGCUUAAAGAGUUCGUAGGUGGUUGAAAAAGUUGGUGGUGAAAUCCCAGAGCUUAACUCUGGAACUGCCAUCAAAACUUUUCAGCUAGAGUAUGAUAGAGGAAAGCAGAAUUUCUAGUGUAGAGGUGAAAUUCGUAGAUAUUAGAAAGAAUACCAACUGCGAAGGCAGCUUUCUGGAUCAUUACUGACACUGAAGAACGAAAGCAUGGGUAGCGAAGAGGAUUAGAUGCCCUCGUAGUCCAUGCCGUAAACGAUGUGUGUUAGACGUUGGAAAUUUAUUUUCAGUGUCGCAGGAAACCGAUAAACACACCGCCUGGGGAGUACG
Molecule: ribosomal RNA, 827 nt
Filed under: uncultured Alphaproteobacteria bacterium
Lineage: Bacteria; Pseudomonadati; Pseudomonadota; Alphaproteobacteria
Description: bacterial SSU rRNA
Rfam family: Bacterial small subunit ribosomal RNA
Source: RNAcentral